AGCUUCCUACUGCUUACCAUAGGCUGUGUUCUUAUACUGACUGUAUAGAAAGAGGAGGCAAAGUAAACCUACCAAUGUACAACUCAGCCUAGGCCACCGUGCCUGGUCUGAUUGUGAAUGGGGAGACAUAG
Jaculus jaculus (lesser Egyptian jerboa) is the source of this 131-nucleotide small nucleolar RNA. The record is from Ensembl. NCBI's taxonomy places the organism in Eukaryota, Metazoa, Chordata, Mammalia, Rodentia, Dipodidae.